Long non-coding RNA from Lontra canadensis (Northern American river otter), 336 nucleotides. RefSeq lists it as uncharacterized. The record is from RefSeq and is a predicted model, not a curated record. The transcript has 3 exons. NCBI's taxonomy places the organism in Eukaryota, Metazoa, Chordata, Mammalia, Carnivora, Mustelidae.
CUCGGUAGUUUGGAGGAUUACUGAGCAGAGCACAUCACAAGAAGGACCCACCUUCUUAUGCGCCUGCGGGACCAUACGUUGCCUGAGUGAAUGCCACUGUCCUUGCCCUGAGGUAUGUAAGAUGCUACCGGAGAAUGGCUCAGGUGGGAGGUCCCUCACUGCCUUCCCAGCGUCUUCUCCCCCCCCCGUCCUAAAGGCAGGCCGCCCUCGUUCUCCUCUAGAUCAUCCAUCGGGCCCACAGAGCCUCUUCAACCACUGAGACCAGUUAUUUUGCAAAUCCCACUCUUGUGAAGCUCUUGGAUGCUUUCCCCCCUGAGAGUAGAAAAGCAGAACUCA